UAUAGAGGGUGCGAGCGUUAAUCGGAAUUACUGGGCGUAAAGCGCACGUAGUCGGCUUUGCAAGUCGGUUGUGAAAUCCCCGGGCUCAACCUGGGAACUGCAUCCGAGACUGCAUUGCUAGAGUAUGGGAGAGGAAAGCGGAAUUUCUGGUGUAGCAGUGAAAUGCGUAGAUAUCAGAAGGAACAUCAGUGGCGAAGGCGGCUUUCUGGACCAAUACUGACGAUCAGGUGCGAAAGCGUGGGGAGCAAACAGG
This 253-nucleotide ribosomal RNA is filed under the name uncultured bacterium. RNAcentral's name for it is "partial 16S ribosomal RNA". It matches the Rfam family "Bacterial small subunit ribosomal RNA", at positions 524 to 776 of the family's 1533-position model. The record is from RNAcentral.